This 323-nucleotide ribosomal RNA is filed under the name Escherichia coli. RNAcentral's name for it is "partial 23S ribosomal RNA". It matches the Rfam family "Bacterial large subunit ribosomal RNA", at positions 1480 to 1783 of the family's 2925-position model. The record is from RNAcentral. Lineage: Bacteria; Pseudomonadati; Pseudomonadota; Gammaproteobacteria; Enterobacterales; Enterobacteriaceae.
GGCUAUGUUGGCCGGGCGACGGUUGUCCCGGUUUAAGCGUGUAGGCUGGUUUUCCAGGCAAAUCCGGAAAAUCAAGGCUGAGGCGUGAUGACGAGGCACUACGGUGCUGAAGCAACAAAUGCCCUGCUUCCAGGAAAAGCCUCUAAGCAUCAGGUAACAUCAAAUCGUACCCCAAACCGACACAGGUGGUCAGGUAGAGAAUACCAAGGCGCUUGAGAGAACUCGGGUGAAGGAACUAGGCAAAAUGGUGCCGUAACUUCGGGAGAAGGCACGCUGAUAUGUAGGUGAAGCGACUUGCUCGUGGAGCUGAAAUCAGUCGAAGA